RNAcentral lists this ribosomal RNA (371 nucleotides) under uncultured bacterium. Its description in RNAcentral is "bacterial SSU rRNA". It matches the Rfam family "Bacterial small subunit ribosomal RNA", at positions 527 to 896 of the family's 1533-position model. The record is from RNAcentral.
AGAGGUCUCAAGCGUUGUUCGGAUUCAUUGGGCGUAAAGGGUGCGUAGGCGGCGCGGUAAGUCGGGUGUGAAAUCUCGGGGCUUAACUCCGAAACUGCAUUCGAUACUGCCGUGCUUGAGGACUGGAGAGGAGACUGGAAUUUACGGUGUAGCGGUGAAAUGCGUAGAUAUCGUAAGGAAGACCAGAGGCGAAGGCGGGUCUCUGGACAGUUCCUGACGCUGAGGCACGAAGGCCAGGGGAGCAAACGGGAUUAGAUACCCCGGUAGUCCUGGCAGUAAACGGUGCACGUUUGGUGUGGGAGGAUUCGACCCCUUCUGCGCCGGAGCUAACGCGUUAAACGUGCCGCCUGGGGAGUACGGUCGCAAGAUUA